Molecule: ribosomal RNA, 440 nt
Filed under: uncultured bacterium
Lineage: Bacteria
Description: partial 16S ribosomal RNA
Rfam family: Bacterial small subunit ribosomal RNA
Source: RNAcentral
CCUACGGGUGGCAGCAGUGGGGAAUAUUGGGCAAUGGAGGAAACUCUGACCCAGCAAUGCCGCGUGAAUGAUGAAGGUUUUCGGAUUGUAAACCUCUUUUGUUAGAGAAGAUAAUGAAGGUAUCUAACGAAUAAGCACCGGCUAACUCCGUUACAGCAGCCGCGGUAAUACGGAGGCAGCAAGCGUUACUCGGAAUCACUGGGCGUAAAGAGCGCGUAGGCGGGAUAGAAAGUCAGAUGUGAAAUCCUAUGGCUUAACCAUAGAACUGCAUUUGAAACUGUUAUUCUAGAGUACGGGAGAGGUAGGUGGAAUUCGUGGUGUAGGGGUAAAAUCCGUAGAGAUCAAGAAGAAUACUCAUUGCGAAGGCGGCUUACUGGACUGUAACUGACGUUGAGGCUCGAAAGCGUGGGGAGCAAACAGGAUUAGAUACCCCUGUAGUC